UAUCCUGAUAUAUUUAAUCACAUUCCAACUGAAGCAUUUUAAGGAGAAUGAAUUUAGAAAAGAGUUUUAAGCUUUUUUGAGUUCAUAUUCAAAGCCAUCCAAAUGCCUGAAUUGAAUCAUGCAAAUUGGGCUCUCCAGUUUCUAUCUCCUAGUACGAACACACAGUUAAAUAAUUCAUUAUAUGUGAAAAUACCUUGACUUUUAUCAAGCAAGCCUGGUUGCAGCAUCAUUGUAAGUUGGGUAUGAUAGAAAUGACAUUACUUAGGUUAUACAUGUCUACAUCUCAACCAGCAGAGCAUGAAGAAGAUAUGUGGGGAAAAGGGAAGAAAGUACAGAAUAUGGUUUCAGAAUCUAGUACUGGGCUUGCACAGAUCCUCAUGUCCACUCUCCUGUGAGAUAGUGAGAUGGUGGCCUACUGUAAUGGCCAUUGGCUCAGAGUAACCUAUAGCAACAGGUAUGCCUCAGCCCUCAGCAGUCUUGAUUUUGUUCCCUCUAAUUGCCACAUACAGCCACGGUAGUUCUGGGUUUAGAGUACUUCUGCAGCUCCAGUGAUCGUGAGCUUAAGGACUUUAACAGAAUACCUGAGGAUCUUACUAUGGAAUGCCAUUUUCCAAAGUCAGCUUACAGAGGUUGGACUCAGCACAGCUUCAGUGAGCAGGCAGUAGAUUUUAACUAUCAGGACCAAAACAAUUAGAAAAAUAGAAAAUCAAGAUACAAGUCAAGAUAAUCCUGAAGAAAGGAGAAAUUUUAACUGUCAGUGGCAAAGAAUACACAGCACACCUUUUGAAAAUCUAAACCUCAAGGAAGUAAUUUUGAAAUUAGAGCAAUUUAGUAGAUUGAAGUUUUUUGUUUUUUUUUUAAUCUUAGGAGUUUAUAUAUGCUGUGAGUGAAGUGUGAAGUGGUGGUAUAGAGCAGUAACAACAAAAUUGUGAAAACUUUUAUUAACUAAUAACACAGCAACAAAAAAGCCCCUAACAUUUGAAGAUGAAAAAAUCAAGAGCCAGUGAACGGACUCAAGUGUCAAGCAUUUGCUGCUGGGACUGAUGACCUAAGCCAUACACACGGUACACCCUACAACUGUCGUUGUAGGGGUUUGUUUUAUCAACUUGACACAAACUAGAGUCAACUGGAAAGAGGGACCUCAGUUAAUGAAAAUGUCUCCACCUGAUUGACCUAAGGCAAGUCUGGAAUCUUAGUGAUUUGUGAUCCAUGUGGGAGAACCCAGCCCAUUGCAGGUGGUGACACCUCUGCAGGUGGAGCCAUGAGGCACAGGGAAGGGUCCUGGAUUUGAACUUGGAAAGGAGGCUUGUGGUACAGUUCUCUUCUAGGUUUCUGCCCUGACUUCCCUCCUUGGCUGUGAUUGUGAUGGAUGAGCCAAAUCUUUUCCUCUCCAAGUUGGUUUUGGUUAGUGUUUUAUGACACCAACAGAAAAGCUAAGACAACUUGAAGUUUUCCAUUUGCCUCUAAUGGUGCCCACACAUAAACAAAUAAUUAAAUAUAAAUGAAAAAUGUACAAUCAGAAGAAAAUGAAAACAGGAUUUGGUAUACAACAGAAAGGGAAUGUACAGAGCUGUUGAGUUGGGCAUAGAAAAAAUGGGUUAGGAAUUUUAUUUGAAGAGGCAAUAGCAAAAAAACAACAAAAACCCAAAAAACCACUUUCCAACCUGUAGAAAGAUAUAAAAGGUAUUUUACAGAGUUGCCUGCUUAUACAGUGAAAUGAAGGUGAAAGACUUUUGUCUUUUUUAAGAGAAAAGCAGUUCACGUGAAUAUUUUUUAUAUUCUGCAGAUAGCAGAAUCUAGGCAGACUAAGAAAAUAGUAUUCAAAGUGCUAAGUAAAACAGUGCCUGCCAAGAACAUUGCAUUCGACAAAGCUGACCUUCAGAAAUAAAGCAGCCUCAGACAAAAGCCAUGAGAAGGCAGCACCUUCAGACUUGUUGAAAAAAGUGCAAAAAGGAGUUGUUCAAACAAAAAGGAACUUGCUAAGAGUAUAUGGCAAAGUCUGAUAAAAUUAAGUUUAGAGCACUAUGAUGGUUGUAUUUAAAUCCAUACUUUUAGGACAGAGCAGUGGGUUUCACCUUUGUAAUACUUUAAGCCUCAUGACCCCAAUGAUAAAAUUAUUUUUGUUGCUACUUUAUAACUAAUUUUACUACUGUUAUGAAUUGUAAAUGUGUUUUCUGAUAGUCUUAGGUCGCCCUGUGAAAGGGUCAUUGAUCCCCAAAGGUAUUGUGAUUCACAGUUUGAGCUCUACUAUUGUAGAUGUUAUUGUAGGAAAAUAAUUACAAUAACUCUAAGGGGAUUGUGACAACUACAGAUUGGGUGUAAGAAACAGGAUGAUUUUUUUCUUAUCAAAGUUGUCAUCUUAGUUCCUGCCUUGACUUUCCUUAGUGAUGGGUUGUAAUCCUUACCUUCUCAGGUUGCUCUUUUUCAUGAAUUUUAUCACCGCAGUAGAAACCAAACUGCUAAGUAUACAGCAAGCCAAAUUAAAGACUAAAAAGUGGGCGUGGUUCCGUCCUGUGUGUCUGUCUGUGGAACCCCAGGUAGUUGUUUUCCUUCGGGUUUCUCCCACAUCGAAGUGCGCACCUCCACCUCAUGGAAGACUUGAUGGUCGUGCACAUGAGCUCUCUUAGUACUAUUUUGGUUGUGAACGAAAGGCUGACAAAGACUAUCACUUUAAAGUGGAUGAUGAUGAAAAUGAGCACCAGUUAAUCAUUAAGAACGGUCAGUUUAGGGGCAGGCACAGAAGAUGAAUUACACAUUGUAGAGCCAGGAGCAAUGAAUUUUGAAGUCAGUCCAGUUAAAAUAACACUGGCAACUUUGAAAAUGUCUGUACAACCAACAGUUUCCCUUGGGCGCUUCGAAAUUACACCACCUGUGGUUUUAAGGUUGAAGUGUGGUUCAGGGUGCACAUUAGUAUACAGCACCUAGUAGCUGUAGAGGAAGAUGCAGAGUCAAGAUGAAGGUGAGGAGGGUAUAAAACUCAGUCUGGAAAGUGGUCUGCUCCUGAAGGUGGUAACAAGGUUCCACAGAAAAAAGUAAAACUUGAUGAUGAGGAGGAGGUGGAGGAGGAGGAAGGAGAAGAAGAUUUUGAUGAAGAGGUACCUGAAGAAAAGGUUCCUGUGAAGAAGAUAAAUGCAGCCCAAAAUGCAGAAAAAUCAAACCAAAAUGGAAAAGACUUAAAACCAUCAACACCAAGAUCAAAGGGUCAAGAGUGCUUCAAAAAACAGGAAAAAACUAAAACACCAAAGUGCAAGCAAAUAUAGAGAAAGGUAGUUCUCUUCCCAAAGUAGAAGCCAAGUUCAUUAUUAUGUGAAGAAUUGUUUCCAGAUGAAUAACCAGGAGGCUAUUCAAGAUAUCUGGCAGUAGAGGAAGUCUCUUUAAGAAAAUGGUUUAAGGGGGCUGGUGAGAUGGCUCAGUGGGUAAGAGCACUGAUUGCUCUUCCAAAGGUCAUGAGUUCACAUCCCAGCAACCACAUGGUGGCUCACAACCACCCACAAUGAGAUCUGACACCUCCUUCUGGUGCGUCUGAAGACAGCUACAGUGUACUUAUAAUAAAUAAAUAAUAAAACAAAAAACAAUUUAAAAAAGAAAACGGUUUAAAUAGUUUGAAAUAUUCUGUCUUCAUUUCUGUAAUAGUUGAUAUCUGGCUGUCCUUUUUAUAAUGCAAAAUGAGAACUUUCCCUACUGUGUUUGAUAAGUGUUGUCAAGGUUCAAUUGCCAAGAAUGCAUUGUCUAAAAUGCCCGUUUAGUUUUCAAGGAUGGGACUUCACCUUUGUCUUAGUCAGGGUUUCUAUUCCUGCACAAACAUCAUGACCAAGAAGCAAGUUGGGGAGGAAAGGGUUUAUUCACCUUACUUCC
RNA transcript from Mastomys coucha (southern multimammate mouse), 3855 nucleotides. It is a transcript of the gene named nucleophosmin pseudogene, with no coding region annotated. The transcript has a single exon. The record is from RefSeq and is a predicted model, not a curated record. NCBI's taxonomy places the organism in Eukaryota, Metazoa, Chordata, Mammalia, Rodentia, Muridae.